This 934-nucleotide long non-coding RNA is filed under the name Nicotiana tabacum (common tobacco). RNAcentral's name for it is "long non-coding RNA (NTAB_LNC001130)". The record is from RNAcentral. Lineage: Eukaryota; Viridiplantae; Streptophyta; Magnoliopsida; Solanales; Solanaceae.
AGAUAAAUAAAAAAAGUAAGAGAAAAAAAUCAAAAAAAUGAGAAAAAAGAUAAAUGUAAUUUCUAGUUUGUAAGAGAUGCCACAUCACCUAUGUUAGGCCCUGCUUUAUAUUAAUAUAUAGAUACUUGCUUUGUGCUUCUAAUUAUAUCUUACUUCAUUUUGUGCUUUUAAUUAUAUAUUGGUCCUUUUACACCUCAGGGCUUUGUUCAACGGCUAAGGUAGUAGUAUAUCGUGAAUGUGUGGUAGGCGCACAUCACGAGUUUGAAACCUGGCUACUUAACGAAGUCCAGCAUUUAAGUGGAGAAAGGUUAGAAGGGCUUCCCAUUAUCCUCAAGUUUCAAAGCUAAAACAGCGGAUUCUUGGUCUUAAAAAGACUUAUAUCCUAGUCCUUUUUUUCCUGAUAUUCUUGUUGUUAAGACCAAAGUUCUUUGAGGACUUUCAGGUUUCUUGUGAGUAAACUGUGCUAGGUGUACGACAACUUGGAUAAAGUGGUGAAUUAUGUCUAUAAUUUUGAAGAGUAUGCCAUUUUUCACUUGAAGAAUCGCUUGAAAAACUUGAAUUUUAAGUGUGGUGUAUGGUACUCUACCUUCACAUACGCAUGCAGUUUGUGUUCUGUUUUCGAUGAUCUCUGUUUUUUCAAUUGCUAUUUGCUUGUGCCUGACUUAGUUCUCUCUUAAAGCUCUUGGAGCCGAUGACGACUGUUCAUCUUUUAUGCUAUUUGUGAUGCAGCCUUGAGUUACUGACUGCAGAGUUGAAACUGCUUGUAAGUCUAUCAUUGUUGAAUAUGUAAUUGCUUUCUGAAAGGGCAUGGAUUGAUUUGCUGCUUGUUUUUUUUUUCUUUUCGGGCUACUCUUCUGUUUCCCAUCUUGGUCUUUUUAUUCAUUAAGAACAUUCUGAAGACAUGGGUUUUAGCUGCUGAUACUUACUGCUCAGG